UACGUAGGGUGCAAGCGUUAAUCGGAAUUACUGGGCGUAAAGCGUGCGCAGGCGGUUAUGUAAGACAGAUGUGAAAUGCCCCGGGCUUAACCUGGGAACUGCAUUUGUGACUGCAUGGCUAGAGUUUGGCAGAGGGGGGUAGAAUUCCACGUGUAGCAGUAGAAAUGCGUAGAUAUGUGGAGGAACACCGAUGGCGAAGGCAGCCCCCUGAGU
This 213-nucleotide ribosomal RNA is filed under the name uncultured bacterium. RNAcentral's name for it is "partial 16S ribosomal RNA". It matches the Rfam family "Bacterial small subunit ribosomal RNA", at positions 524 to 734 of the family's 1533-position model. The record is from RNAcentral.